Phragmites australis (common reed) is the source of this 1350-nucleotide RNA transcript. It is a transcript of the gene named microtubule-destabilizing protein 60-like, with no coding region annotated. The transcript is spliced from 3 exons. Lineage: Eukaryota; Viridiplantae; Streptophyta; Magnoliopsida; Poales; Poaceae. The record is from RefSeq and is a predicted model, not a curated record.
CGUCCGCCCGCUCGUCCGCCCGUCGCGACCCCUCUAUCGCCGUCCCCCAAACCUCUGUCACGCGCUUCUCCGUCAUCAUAGACGGCGGCAGCACCGGCACCCGGACCCACAUCUUCGCCACGGGGCCCGUGAUGCGUGUCUCCUCGGGGCUCCCAUCCUUCGCCGCCGAGGUGGCGUGCGCGGGGGAGUCGCUGCGGCCGCUGAUGGAGUUCGCGAGGGAGAGGGUAGGGGGCGCCGCUGCGGAGACGGAGGUGCGGCUGGUGGCCACCGCCGAGCUGCCCCAAUACCAGCUCCAAGGCACCUAGCGUCCCCUCCUUAGACGCGCACAAUGACCCGCUCCUUCCCACCGUCACCUUCUUGCUGCCCUCGAUGCCCGCGUCCCGGCGGGAGCUCCGCCGCCGCCUCUCCCCCGAGCUCGCUCAGGUGCGCGCCACCUCCAAGCGCCUCAACUCACUCCAGGCCCCCGCCCCUUCCUACGCGCUCUCGACCGACCCCUCCACCUCGCUCCCGCCCGCAUCCAAGCACAAAUCGAAGAAAGGGGCAGCAGCUCACCCGCCCGUCUUGGCGGCGGAACAAGCUCUACGCGCCCGUGUUUAAGAACUGCGCCAUGCUGCCCAGUAGGUUGAUGAAGCCCAAGCACAGCUGGGUGUUCAACAAGCCGGUCGACACUAUCGGUCUCGGUCUGCACGACUACCACACCAUCAUCACCAAGCCCAUGGACCUCGACACUGUCAAGUCCAAGCUAGCCGCCCGGCACUACAAGUCACCACGAGAAUUCGCUGGGGAUGCGCGUCUGACGUUCCAGAACGCCAUGACGUACAACCCCAAGGGGCAGAAUUUUGAUUCACUUAUGCCAAAUUUGAGAUGCUUUCCUUUUAAAUAAAUGAGCCAAUAUGUGAAAUUCGAUCACAAUGUCAUCCAUGACAGCAAAGAGGAAGGGCCAAGGAACAACAGUUUAUCCAAAAGGUGCAGGAAAUGCUUAUGGAGGAAGAGAACAAGAGGAUACAUAUUGCGCAAGGACUACCAUGGACUACUGGUGAGCCUGGGUGCUUGUUGAAGCCACCCGUCAAAGAAAGAACUGAGCCGAUCGACCUUGUUCUCCAUAGCGAUGUACGCGCAGUUGAACGUGUUAAAUUCGAUCAAUAUGUUUGCUGAGCAACUAAGGCUGGAGAACAUGAGAUAACUCAUUCCACUGAACACAAGAAUGCCAAUAGUCAACACUUUAUUUCUAGAUUUAUAACUAAUAGUUUACAAUCUGUUGAGCAGCACUAGACGGAAGAGGCUAAUUCAAUCGCGGGGUCGCUCAUUCAUAUUUUCAACUGCUUUGCCAAUGCCAGUAGUUGCUUCUGU